Vicia villosa (hairy vetch) is the source of this 658-nucleotide long non-coding RNA. RefSeq lists it as uncharacterized. Lineage: Eukaryota; Viridiplantae; Streptophyta; Magnoliopsida; Fabales; Fabaceae. The record is from RefSeq and is a predicted model, not a curated record. The transcript is spliced from 4 exons.
CCUUCUCUCUCACUAUUUUCUCUUUUCUCCUUUCCGUUUUCCUUUCAAACCCCAACCAACGCCGCAAGUGGAUUGCCGAACAAACCCAUGCUCAUCGUGAACGCCGAACUAAAGAGGUUGCUCGUGAGGCAAGUAGCUUUCCUGCUUCCUCUUCCCCUUUCAAGCGAUAAAAUUAGAAUUCCAAUUCCGUAACCCUCUCAUUGCAUUUUGUAUUUUGUUCUUGAUUUAAACUUUGUAUUUUGAAGGAAGAUCUACAAAUUUGUUUGUCAGUAACUUGCAGAUCUACGCUUGUCCGACCCCACUCCAUAGUUUCUGCUCUCCUUUCAUCACUUUUGUUUUCAAGGAAUAUUGGAAGAGAAGUGGUCAAAUACUAGCUCUUAGAGUAAAUGCUGGAACUGAACCUGAUGCAGAUCUUGGUCCGGUUAUCAGAUCUUAGAACCCGGAACAUAUUUCAUGGCCAGAUGUGGAUUAACUGCAAGGCUUAAGUUCUUCUUUGGGGACCAAAUGCAGAAUAUCCUUCUCACGUAGAGACGUGGUUUCGUUAACGAGCAACCAGAGGGCUGAAAGAGGCAAUGACAACCAUUCUGCUGCUUCAUCUAGAUCAUCACUAUUCAACUCAGCCUUGAUGCAUAAGUCUUCCAAACUCGUGGAACCUUCU